RNAcentral lists this ribosomal RNA (373 nucleotides) under uncultured bacterium. RNAcentral describes it as "bacterial SSU rRNA". It matches the Rfam family "Bacterial small subunit ribosomal RNA", at positions 524 to 898 of the family's 1533-position model. The record is from RNAcentral.
UACGUAGGUGGCGAGCGUUAUCCGGAAUUACUGGGUGUAAAGGGUGUGUAGGCGGGGAUGCAAGUCAGAUGUGAAACCCAUGGGCUCAACCCAUGAUGUGCAUUUGAAACUGCGUUUCUUGAGUGUGGGAGAGGUAAGCGGAAUUCCUAGUGUAGCGGUGAAAUGCGUAGAUAUUAGGAGGAACACCAGUGGCGAAGGCGGCUUACUGGACCACAACUGAGGCUGAGACACGAAAGCGUGGGGAGCAAACAGGAUUAGAUACCCUGGUAGUCCACGCUGUAAACGAUGAAUGCUAGGUGUAGGGGGCUUGACCCUCUGUGCCGGAGUUAACACAAUAAGCAUUCCACCUGGGGAGUACGGCCGCAAGGUUGAA